AAGACAUUGUAGUCAAGAGGGACUGUACUUUGAAGUCUGUUUGUCUGUCUCAGUGAGGACAGGAAUACUUUAAUCUAGGAGUACUUGAACAUCAACAGUGAGGAAGCUGAGAGAGAGAUCGCGUAGACCACCAUGGGGCUUUAUGUGAUCCGAAAAAGAUGGUGCUGAUGAAGAGGAAAAGCCAGAGGAUGUUGGAGUGGUGAUUGAGGGUGUGGAACUGCUAUGCAACCUGGGAAGUAUUUUCUUUGGAUGUGUUACACUUUUUGUAUUGAUCUACACACUCAACUCGAGCUAUCCCCAGGAACACAAGUUCACAUUUGAGUUCUUCCAGAAAGUGUUGAUGACCUUGGAUGGUCACAAACUGUCCCCAAAGAUCCAAACACUUAAAAUAAAGAUGCUUCAGUGAGCUGAUAAGUUAAUGUGAUGGACAUUUGAACCUGCCACAGUUUGGCUUGUUGGACAUUGCCAGUUGGAUCUUCUAUUGCCACUUUGACUUUAUUUAAUUUUAAUUAACAGUGGCAUCAGUACAGUGCAGACACUUUUAAAUGUUGCUGUAAUUUUGAAGUUGUUACUGGCAAUAAAGUUUUCACAACUA
Long non-coding RNA from Toxotes jaculatrix (banded archerfish), 595 nucleotides. RefSeq lists it as uncharacterized. The record is from RefSeq and is a predicted model, not a curated record. NCBI's taxonomy places the organism in Eukaryota, Metazoa, Chordata, Actinopteri, Toxotidae. The transcript has 2 exons.